This 425-nucleotide ribosomal RNA is filed under the name Boana calcarata group sp. ABGD cluster 17. RNAcentral's name for it is "partial large subunit ribosomal RNA". It matches the Rfam family "Bacterial large subunit ribosomal RNA", at positions 1834 to 2385 of the family's 2925-position model. The record is from RNAcentral. Lineage: Eukaryota; Metazoa; Chordata; Amphibia; Anura; Hylidae.
CUUGCUAAAAUAUAAGAGGUCCAGCCUGCCCAGUGACCCAGUUCAACGGCCGCGGUAUCCUAACCGUGCGAAGGUAGCGUAAUCACUUGUUCUUUAAAUGGGGACUAGUAUGAAUGGCAUCACGAGGGUUGAACUGUCUCCUUUCUCUAAUCAGUGAAACUAAUCUCCCCGUGAAGAAGCGGGAAUCAUUUUAUAAGACGAGAAGACCCUAUGGAGCUUAAAACAAAUUGACACAUGCUUCCACCUACUUCAAUUCCUGAAUAAAUAUACAAAAUAUAGCAUCAUUGAUUAAUAGUUUUAGAUUGGGGUGAUCAUGGAGCAAAAAACAACCUCCACGACGAAAAGGAAUAUUCCCUGAGCCAAAAGCCACAACUUUAAGCACUAAAAAAUUAACGCAUCUUGACCCAAUUUUUUGAACAACGAAC